CUGAGAGGAGGUGCAUGGCCGUCGUCAGUUCGUACUGUGAAGCAUCCUGUUAAGUCAGGCAACGAGCGAGACCCACGCCAACAGUUGCCAGCUCGUCCUCCGAGAUGGUGGGGACACUGUUGGGACCGCCUCUGCUAAAGAGGAGGAAGGAAUGGGCAACGGUAGGUCAGCAUGCCCCGAAUUAUCUGGGCUACACGCGGGCUACAAUGGGUGGGACAAUGGGUAUCGACACCGAAAGGUGAAGGCAAUCUCCUAAACCCAUCCGUAGUUCGGAUUGUGGGCUGCAACUCGCCCACAUGAAGCUGGAAUCUGUAGUAAUCGUGUCUCAAAAUGGCACGGUGAAUAUGUCCCUGCUCCUU
Molecule: ribosomal RNA, 359 nt
Filed under: uncultured Methanomicrobiales archaeon
Lineage: Archaea; Methanobacteriati; Methanobacteriota; Methanomicrobia; Methanomicrobiales
Description: bacterial SSU rRNA
Rfam family: Archaeal small subunit ribosomal RNA
Source: RNAcentral